Molecule: ribosomal RNA, 497 nt
Filed under: uncultured bacterium
Lineage: Bacteria
Description: partial 16S ribosomal RNA
Rfam family: Bacterial small subunit ribosomal RNA
Source: RNAcentral
GAUGAACGCUGGCGGCGUGCCUAAUACAUGCCAGUCGAGCGAACAGAUAAGGAGCUUGUUCCUUUGACGUUAGCGGCGGACGGGUGAGUAACACGUGGGGAACCUACCUAUAAGACUGGAAUAACUCCGGGAAACCAGGGCUAAUGCCGCAUAAAAACUAGAACCACAUGGUUCAAAAGUGAAAGAUGCAUUUACUAUCCCUUAUAGAUGGACCCGCUUCGAAUUAGCUAGUUGGUAAGGUAACGCCUUACAAAGGCAACGAACCGAACCGGACCGGAAAGGGGAACUGGCCAAAUUGGAACUGAGCACGGGCCCAGACUCCUACGGGAGGAAGCAGUAGGAAAUCUUCGGAAAUGGGCGAAGGCCUGACGGGGCAACGCGCGGUGGGGAAUGAGGGUUUUCGGAUGGUAAAACUCUGUUAUAAGGGAAGAAGAAAUGUGUAGGUGACUGUUCACGUCUUGACGGUACCUACUCAGAAAGGCACGGCUAACUACGUG